GUUGAUUGUCUUUAUUAAAAAAAAGAGUAAUACCAAGAAUAACGAACUCAAAGGUAAAUUAUCAAAGGGGGAAGUCCAAUCAAACUUACAAAACAAACUAACGAAACGAAUUUAAAAUAACUGACAUGUUUCCCAAUUACGUUCAUACUUUUUUAGAUCAAGGUUGUGGGAAAAUAUGAUUUCAUUUUAUCUAAACCGCCC
Molecule: long non-coding RNA, 201 nt
Filed under: Mytilus galloprovincialis (Mediterranean mussel)
Lineage: Eukaryota; Metazoa; Mollusca; Bivalvia; Mytilida; Mytilidae
Source: RNAcentral